RNAcentral lists this long non-coding RNA (349 nucleotides) under Gallus gallus (chicken). Its description in RNAcentral is "long non-coding RNA NONGGAT011850". The record is from RNAcentral. Lineage: Eukaryota; Metazoa; Chordata; Aves; Galliformes; Phasianidae.
GCUUCAUUUCUCUAACAGAAAUCAUUGUGAUGAAUGUGUUCUAUGAGGUCACAGUCUUCAGAAGGCCUAGUGCCACCUGCUAGUACACCGCUAUCACCUGGGCAGGGCACCAGGUUUAACUCCUGGAGGCUGGGACCCACACUAAGCAGACAGACUGUGUGAAGCUUCUAACUGAAGACUUUAUGAGGUGUUGGAGUUGUGUGCUGAUCUAUGUACAAUGUACUGAAUAUGCUGUCCCCAGGAUGCUCACUGAACUGCUCAUAAUUUUGAAGAUUCCUCCAUGGAGUCAUAUUUUUCUUCCUCCUGAAGUGGCUACAGCAUGCAAGGCAAAUCCCUGCCAAGUAUUUUC